UGAAUUGAAAGUGACUAUAUAUAUAUAUAAUCCAUGGCAAAUUGGGUUAGAAGAUAGGACAAGACAUUUUGAGUGGACUGUGUUGAGCAAUUUUAGAGAAUGAGAAUUGGAGAAUCCUCCAAACCUUGUUUUGUAUAUGAACACUGGCAAAAGGCUCCACCUCCUUUUUUUGACAUUGACUUGGAAGAAAGUUCUAUCCUUUUUGGUUUUUUCUAUACUCC
Molecule: long non-coding RNA, 221 nt
Filed under: Prunus persica (peach)
Lineage: Eukaryota; Viridiplantae; Streptophyta; Magnoliopsida; Rosales; Rosaceae
Description: long non-coding RNA (PPER_LNC007265)
Source: RNAcentral